GAUCAUGGCUCAGGAUGAACGCUAGCUACAGGCUUAACACAUGCAAGUCGAGGGGCAGCACAAGGCAGCAAUGCUGAGGUGGCGACCGGCGCACGGGUGCGUAACGCGUAUCCAACCUUCCCGUUACUCAUGGAUAGCCUUCCGAAAGGGAGAUUAAUACCUGAUGGUGUUCAAAUUCCGCAUGUUAUUUGAACUAAAGAUUUAUCGGUAACGGAUGGGGAUGCGUGACAUUAGAUAGUAGGCGGGGUAACGGCCCACCUAGUCUACGAUGUCUAGGGGUUCUGAGAGGAAGGUCCCCCACACUGGAACUGAGACACGGUCCAGACUCCUACGGGAGGCAGCAGUGAGGAAUAUUGGUCAAUGGUCGGAAGACUGAACCAGCCAAGUAGCGUGAAGGAUGAAGGUUCUAUGGAUUGUAAACUUCUUUUAUACGGGAAUAAAACCUCCCACGUGUGGGAGCUUGUAUGUACCGUAUGAAUAAGCAUCGGCUAACUCCGUG
RNAcentral lists this ribosomal RNA (499 nucleotides) under uncultured bacterium. Its description in RNAcentral is "bacterial SSU rRNA". It matches the Rfam family "Bacterial small subunit ribosomal RNA", at positions 15 to 507 of the family's 1533-position model. The record is from RNAcentral.